This 468-nucleotide ribosomal RNA is filed under the name uncultured bacterium. RNAcentral describes it as "partial 16S ribosomal RNA". It matches the Rfam family "Bacterial small subunit ribosomal RNA", at positions 28 to 507 of the family's 1533-position model. The record is from RNAcentral.
GACGAACGCUGGCGGCGUGCUUAACACAUGCAAGUCGAACGGAAAGGCCCUGCUUUUGUGGGGUUCUCGAGUGGCGAACGGGUGAGUAACACGUGAGUAACCUGCCCUUGACUUUGGGAUAACUUCAGGAAACUGGGGCUACUCCCGUAUCGGAUCUCCUGCUGCAUGGUGGGGGUUGGAAAUUUUCGGCGGUUGGGGAUGGACUCGCGGCUUAUCAGCUUGUUGGUGGGGUAGUUGCUUACCAAGGCUUUGACGGGUAGCCGGCCUGAGAGGGUGAACGGCCACAUUGGGACUGAGAUACGGCCCAGACUCGUACGGGAGGCAGCAGUGGGGAAUAUUGCACAAUGAGCGGAAGCGUGAUGCAGAAACGCCGCGUGCGGGAUGACGGCCUUCGGGUUGUAAACCGCUUUAGCCUGUGACGAAGCGGGAGUGACGGUAAUGGGUAAAGAAGCACCGGCUAACUACGUG